AGAGUUUGAUCAUGGCUCAGAUUGAACGCUGGCGGCAGGCUUAACACAUGCAAGUCGAGCGGGGGAAGGUAGCUUGCUACCGGACCUAGCGGCGGACGGGUGAGUAAUGCUUAGGAAUCUGCCUAUUAGUGGGGGACAACAUCUCGAAAGGGAUGCUAAUACCGCAUACGUCCUACGGGAGAAAGCAGGGGAUCUUCGGACCUUGCGCUAAUAGAUGAGCCUAAGUCGGAUUAGCUAGUUGGUGGGGUAAAGGCCUACCAAGGCGACGAUCUGUAGCGGGUCUGAGAGGAUGAUCCGCCACACUGGGACUGAGACACGGCCCAGACUCCUACGGGAGGCAGCAGUGGGGAAUAUUGGACAAUGGGGGGAACCCUGAUCCAGCCAUGCCGCGUGUGUGAAGAAGGCCUUAUGGUUGUAAAGCACUUUAAGCGAGGAGGAGGCUACUUUAGUUAAUACCUAGAGAUAGUGGACGUUACUCGCAGAAUAAGCACCGGCUAACUCUGUGCCAGCAGCCGCGGUAAUACAGAGGGUGCGAGCGUUAAUCGGAUUUACUGGGCGUAAAGCGUGCGUAGGCGGCUUAUUAAGUCGGAUGUGAAAUCCCCGAGCUUAACUUGGGAAUUGCAUUCGAUACUGGUGAGCUAGAGUAUGGGAGAGGAUGGUAGAAUUCCAGGUGUAGCGGUGAAAUGCGUAGAGAUCUGGAGGAAUACCGAUGGCGAAGGCAGCCAUCUGGCCUAAUACUGACGCUGAGGUACGAAAGCAUGGGGAGCAAACAGGAUUAGAUCCCCUGGUAGUCCAUGCCGUAAACGAUGUCUACUAGCCGUUGGGGCCUUUGAGGCUUUAGUGGCGCAGCUAACGCGAUAAGUAGACCGCCUGGGGAGUACGGUCGCAAGACUAAAACUCAAAUGAAUUGACGGGGGCCCGCACAAGCGGUGGAGCAUGUGGUUUAAUUCGAUGCAACGCGAAGAACCUUACCUGGCCUUGACAUACUAGAAACUUUCCAGAGAUGGAUUGGUGCCUUCGGGAAUCUAGAUACAGGUGCUGCAUGGCUGUCGUCAGAUCGUGUCGUGAGAUGUUGGGUUAAGUCCCGCAACGAGCGCAACCCUUUUCCUUACUUGCCAGCAUUUCGGAUGGGAACUUUAAGGAUACUGCCAGUGACAAACUGGAGGAAGGCGGGGACGACGUCAAGUCAUCAUGGCCCUUACGGCCAGGGCUACACACGUGCUACAAUGGUCGGUACAAAGGGUUGCUACACAGCGAUGUGAUGCUAAUCUCAAAAAGCCGAUCGUAGUCCGGAUUGGAGUCUGCAACUCGACUCCAUGAAGUCGGAAUCGCUAGUAAUCGCGGAUCAGAAUGCCGCGGUGAAUACGUUCCCGGGCCUUGUACACACCGCCCGUCACACCAUGGGAGUUUGUUGCACCAGAAGUAGCUAGCCUAACUGCAAAGAGGGCGGUUACCACGGUGUGGCCGAUGACUGGGGUGAAGUCGUAACAAGGUAGCCGUAGGGGAACCUGCGGCUGGAUCACCU
This 1525-nucleotide ribosomal RNA is filed under the name Acinetobacter baumannii NIPH 290. RNAcentral's name for it is "bacterial SSU rRNA". It matches the Rfam family "Bacterial small subunit ribosomal RNA". The record is from RNAcentral. Lineage: Bacteria; Pseudomonadati; Pseudomonadota; Gammaproteobacteria; Moraxellales; Moraxellaceae.